Molecule: ribosomal RNA, 421 nt
Filed under: uncultured Nitrosomonas sp.
Lineage: Bacteria; Pseudomonadati; Pseudomonadota; Betaproteobacteria; Nitrosomonadales; Nitrosomonadaceae
Description: bacterial SSU rRNA
Rfam family: Bacterial small subunit ribosomal RNA
Source: RNAcentral
GCCGAUGUCUGAUUAGCUAGUUGGUAAGGUAAUGGCUUACCAAGGCAACGAUCAGUAGUUGGUCUGAGAGGACGACCAGCCACACUGGGACUGAGACACGGCCCAGACUCCUACGGGAGGCAGCAGUGGGGAAUUUUGGACAAUGGGCGCAAGCGGAAUCCAGCAAUGCCGCGUGAGUGAAGAAGGCCUUCGGGUUGUAAAGCUCUUUCAGUUGAGAAGAAAAGAUUGUGACUAAUAAUUGCAAUUCAUGACGGUAUCAACAGAAGAAGCACCGGCUAACUACGUGCCAGCAGCCGCGGUAAUACGUAGGGUGCGAGCGUUAAUCGGAAUUACUGGGCGUAAAGGGUGCGCAGGCGGUUCUGUAAGUCAGAUGUGAAAUCCCCGGGCUUAACCUGGGAACUGCGUUUGAAACUACAAAGNG